This 4824-nucleotide unclassified non-coding RNA is filed under the name Leishmania donovani. Its description in RNAcentral is "gene:LdHU3.34.5840(CDS-product:hypothetical_prote in_conserved)". Lineage: Eukaryota; Euglenozoa; Kinetoplastea; Trypanosomatida; Trypanosomatidae. The record is from RNAcentral.
CAGCACUACAGACGUGCGUGUGAUCUUGUUGCGUAGUCGCACGUACGUCAGCAGGGGGUUCUGUGCGCAUCUUCGGCUCAACGGCAAAAGGAAAGAAGCAAGGCGCAGUUACACCUGUGCUACCUUUGAUCUCUGCGCAGACGAGGCCUCUCCAACCACUUGUGGGUGUCUCCGGCGUUGUUCUGUGCUCGCACCCGCACGCACUCGGCGGACAUCGAUAGAAAAGCGUACGGGGCCCCAGUCAAAGGCCAUCUACUCACCUUAGCGUAUCCGACGGUACAAGAUUGAUAAAAGGCACAGAUCGUGGUGCAUACGCUUGCGCUUGGUUUGGGUAGCUGUACGUCUCCUGGAGGCAGACUGGCCGUCCUGGAACUCUUUCGCUCGAGAGAGGGUGGCCAUUGCGAUCCUCGGAGCCUCUUAUUGGUUCAUCCCCCUCCUCCUUCCGCCUCCCCGACCCCACUCAUCCCGCUAGCGCGUAUUACACGUCGCACCCUCCGCACCCUGUGACCCCCCCUCCCACACCACUGUCGUCUCGGUAGGCGCGGCGGCGGAGGGGUGAUGCUGGGCAAUUGAGAGACUACGGAGGCUCUCGCUCAUACUCGCAUGCCGGCCCGUGUAUCUGUUGCUUGCUUACGGUUUUUCCUGUUCGUUGUUGCUUCUUCGCUAUGAGCAGCGUCUCGGCAGCGCCUCAGCUGUCCCCGAAGGUGAUCCCGGGCUGCAGUAACACCCACAGCAACAGCGGACUUCCCACCAUCCUCUCCGAUCUCGGCACAUUUGCGUACCAGUCAGCGUGCUACGGACCGCAGCAACUGCUCGCAUGCAGUUCUGCCGUGACCAACGCAGGUGAGGUGAUCUUUGUCUAUGACAUGAAUAGCAUGCUGCUUACACAGUCGCUCAGCGGACACAAGGCCGCUGUCACAGCGUUGCUGUGGCGCCGACCUCCGGCGUCUUACCUGCAAACAGGCCUCUUUCUGUGGAGUGGCGACGCGAGCGGCGCGCUGAUGUACUGGGAUGUAGUGGAGGGUGUAGCGCUGACAUCGAUCCAGACGCCUUGCCAUGCCGCGGUGCAGUCGCUGACGCUUCUCACAGAUGAGCACCUCCUCGUCGUCACUCAGGAAGGCACAGGCUACGUGUUCAACUCACACCUCGUCGACAACGCCCCUCUGCCACCCGGCCGUCUCCUGCUAGAGGCGAAGCAGAGCACCCUGCUGGGCAACAUCAGCAGACCAUCGCUCGUCGCUUGUUCGCGCCUGAACGACCAGCACUGCUGCGCUGUUGUGCUCGGCGACCGUCUGCGUAUCCUCACCGCAAUCCCGCUCGACAGCGGCGCCGCCGCUCCUGUCGCAAAGGAUCUUAUCUACGACAGCUGCGAUGGUGCCCCCACGGUCAUCGACGUCUUUUUCAGCGACGCGCAGGAGGAGGUGCUGUACUUCGCCACGCGCAACACGGUGGGAUGCUACGACUGGAAGCUGAGGCUGAUGUUGAACGAAUCGCUGCUGUGGUUGCCGGACGAGGUGGAGUUUCGUCGCAUCUUUCGCUCGUGCUCGAGCGGCGCGGCGGCGCGCACCGCCGAAAGUCGUAGCCAGGAGUCCACGGCGUCAUCGUCAGGCGAUGCGGCCGCCGCGCAGGUCCCGCUCAUGUAUUCGUUCGGCUCCGAUCAGCGACUUGUCGCGUGGCACGUCACGCGGCACGACCGCUUCACUGCCGUUUCGACAGACGUGCGUGGGGUGCGCAUCAAUGCCAAGCUGUGCGUUAACGUGGUACAGUCGGAGCUCGACUCGUCGCUGUUUGCGGUGCUGUUCGAGGACGGCUCCAUUGUGCACUGGCAGUACAGCCCCCUGGCUCGGCGGUGGCGGCUGCUGGACUGCUGGCUGGCGCCUGUGGUGCGCCCCGUGACGUUCUGCCCCGUCGGUGCCCAUCACUGCUGCGUGGCUUUGGAGAGCGGUCAUCUUGCUCUGAUGGACAUUACGCACAGCAUGGCUGUUCGGCGGUUCAACUUGGUCUACUCUGGCGGAACGAAGAUUGUGCUGCUGUGCGGGUACAAGUGGAGCGACCUUGUCUGGAUCGUGUCGGACCGCAUUCAACAGUACCGCCACCACCACCAAGUCUCGCUGAUUGACACCCGCACAGGGGAGGUGGUGCGAGUGCUGCGCAAACCGUCCUCGGCACCAGAGCAGACCCGGAUGAAGGAGAUCACGAUGGACCCGACAACCACGUACGUCCUGCUGACGUUCUGGAACGGCACCUUUGAGGUUUGGACAGCGGCGGACAGCCGACUCGUGCACAUCCACUCCGGUUUGGGCGUCGCAAACGUCUCGUGGGCGCCUCCGUUGAUGCGGCGCUGCUUGAGUGGUGUACAAGGCACGCCGCAGCUGCUCGCCGUGCUGUUCUCGGAGGGCACGCUGUCGCUGUGGUCCGCCUACAAGGACCGAGUGGUGGUGAGCCGCGACGCCAUUCCCCUCUUCCACCCAAGCGCGGUGGAGGGGUCGGUGCGGUCUGCAGUGGUGGCGGAUACCCUUGUCAUGUGGGACGGUCACGGCAACGGCUUCGUGCUGCGCGCGCAAGGAACGCGGCUGGCGGUGCGGCGGCUACGCGAUGCGCCUCCUAACAGCGGGGCAGUGAUGUGCCUGGGCGGGCCGUCACCGCCAUCUCGCGCGACAGAGUUCAUGAGCUUUUCGUCGCCGCUCGCGUGGCCGUCGUCGGGGUCCUUAUCAUACCACGAGGACGGCGACAACGCAGCCAGCUCGAUCAGCACCGGCGACGCAGGGCUUCCCUCGACACCGACGGCUGGCUUCAGCGCUGCCCGCGCCGUCGCGGUUCUCUUCGAGAGUGGCGUGUUUGCUGUGUGGGACAUCGCGACCGGUGAGCGCCGCGCGCUAUCUUCGGUUGGCAUGGCUGCGGAUGUGCGCGCGCUGUCGCUCUACUGGACGGGCGGGUCUCUUUGUGUACUGGGCGCUGAUGGCUGCCUCUACGUGCUCGACACAUACCUGACCGAGAUGAACAGCAGCGUGCGGUACCGGGCGCUGCGGCGUCCCAUGAAGAACGUAGCCUUUCUCCUUCCUGCCCACCGUACCUACGUGCAGGUGGCGCUGGAGCUGGGUAGUCCGCAGUCGGGUCUAGGCGACCAAGCCCAACGCGCCUCACACUCCUUGAGCGAUGCCCCCAGCGCAGUCAUGGAGGCGGUACCGUCCUCCGUGCGUCCCUGCCGUGGCCCGUUUGGCCAGCUCCUCACUGAGGACAUACGGACUUUGCAGGAUGAACUGGAGCUCUAUCGCACCACGAUGGUGCCGCGCGAUGUGCUGCUGCGGCUGAGCCGCUGCGGCUCCACCGCGGCCGGCGCGGCGCCGGUCUCCCCUCUGACUUGGCUGAGACGCGCUGCAGUGGUCGCCGACUUUCUUGGCCAGUCGACGAAGCAGCGGUUCAUGCGCCUUGCUGCCGAUGUGCUGCGGCACUGGCAGCCGUCCGCCGUCGCGCGACGCGGUGCUCGGGGCACCCCCUCGCCGGCCUCGUCGCCAGCCGACGCCGCCCUGGCGAUCGCAUUGACUGACUGUCCUCCUGCUUCACCUGACAGCGAGCCGCUCGGUGAAGACUCCUUCAGCGUGCCACAGACUUACGCCUGCGCAGAUGUGUACUCGGAAGCGCUUGCCCCUUCUCACGUUGUGCGCCGCAAUCGUAUCCUACUCAAUGAGCAGCGCAGCGCAGCGCUGCUCGUGAACGCGCGCAACCACCGCGCCAGGGACGACUCUAUUACGCGACUCGCGCUUGCGCGGGACUGGCUGCGACUCGAGCACCGCCAGAACGUCAUCGAGGUGCUGCUGGAUGCGCCGCCACAGUCCACGACCUACAACGAGCUGGCCACCCUGAGCAUGGCUGUGGCUGCGUCGACCGCCGUCCAGUCCUCCUCGGCGGACUCGGCCACGUCGGCGCUCUUCGCCGCCUCGGCGAAGCGUGCGGCGGCAAUGUUGCUAGCGCAGGGCGACGUGGAGGCAGCCGUAGAGAAGCUCACGCUGGCUGGCGAGUAUCGCAGCGCCUGCGUCACACUCCAGUCCAAAGGUCGGUGGCGCGAUGCUGUGCUUCUUGUCAAGGCGGUGCCUCAAGUGCAGCGGCCCUUGCUGGCGGAGGUGCUGCAGCGUUGGUCAGCGCUUUCAGUGAAGCGAGGCUACCGCCUACUUAGCGCCGCUCUUCUACUCGCCGUCGGUGAAGCGAAUCCUUAUGAGACGCAGCCCCCUCCACUGGCAGCGUUGUCCCUGCUGAUAGAGUCGGCCCAUUUCACGGAUGUGGCUGGGGUUCUGGCGCUCGUGCUGGCCCAGUACCACGAGGCCAUUCUCGGCUGGCCAGAGACGGCUGCAGCGGCGUGGAUGUCCAUUUCACCUGCCCACUCUUCGGACACCUCACCAGUGCAGCCCGUGAGUGCCGGUGCCAUGAUGGACACUGUGCUGCACGCCUUGGGCGACUACAGCGGCCUCCUGCACACAGUCAGCAACCUGGCGGCCGAGGAGGUUGUGCUUCGGCAGGCUGCAAUGCUGAAGGUGUCGAUGCGGCAGGCUGCCAAGGACGACAGCGAUGAGUGUGGGGACUGAUUGGGGACCGCUGCACACAGAGACAAACUGACGGCUGUGACGGCGGUGAAACAUGAUCUUUCCACCAAGCACCUUCUCUGUGGCCUCUCUCUCUCGCGCGACGUGCUGUCGCGGUGCAGGGAAGGGCUGGGGGGGGGGCGUGGAGGCGUGGAAGAAACCGCUACCCAACGAUAUUCGUUGAGGCUUUGAUCAUAUCUUCCGCUCUUGUGCGGACGUUUGUGCUCCCUGUUGACUGCUUCAGAAG